This is a long non-coding RNA of Coregonus clupeaformis (lake whitefish), 321 nucleotides long. RefSeq lists it as uncharacterized. The record is from RefSeq and is a predicted model, not a curated record. Lineage: Eukaryota; Metazoa; Chordata; Actinopteri; Salmoniformes; Salmonidae. The transcript has 3 exons.
AAAUGUCACUUCCAGACCUCAUGUCUCCACAACCCUCCCAAACCUCUCUGCAACAUUAUAUAACAUCUCUACAACAUUUCUGGCAUCUGGAGAUAUCAGUGGUCACUCUUCAUCAAGAGCAGAUUAUCCUCCCUCAGAUUACUCUCCUGGUGCAGGACAGAGGCAGAGUGCUGGUCUGAUGGUGUGGACCAGUGUUGGUCUGGUAGUCAUGGUGACAGUGUUAGGACUGGUCCUGCUCCUGUUCUCCAGACAGAGGAGAGGAACCAGGAGAACACCACCACCACCACCAGUCUCCUCCAACACACAACCUGACCCUACUGG